Long non-coding RNA from Juglans microcarpa x Juglans regia, 538 nucleotides. RefSeq lists it as uncharacterized. NCBI's taxonomy places the organism in Eukaryota, Viridiplantae, Streptophyta, Magnoliopsida, Fagales, Juglandaceae. The transcript is spliced from 2 exons. The record is from RefSeq and is a predicted model, not a curated record.
CGAUCGAGCUCAACGUUCUUCAGGCAGAAUAAAAAUAUAAUUAUAAAGCGUGUUUCCAGCUGGGCGCUUUGCUAUUCAGCGAUCUGUCUGUCUCUCUUCCUUGGCCAUACUAACCACAGAUCUAGCAUCGUUUUCAAGGAUCGAGUGUCGCUUUCACGCUCUCACUCCUUUUUCUCUGAGUCGAAUCAGAAGUUAGGGCUUUCAACGAAAUCAGACCGCGUUAAGAUGGUUUUUUUUCCCGUCCUUUUUAAGGCAGACUGGACAGAUGAGAUGCGAUUUGCUCUGAUGUCAUUUCCAUGGUUUCACAAUCGAGAGGACGAUAAUGAGUCCAAUAACCAGGAGCAAUAUGAUGGCAAUCAUCAUGCACUUUCUUGACUUCUUCUGCAAACUCUUUGCAGUUUGGAGAGCUUCUGUACCCGAUCGCAGAUGGUCCACUGUAUUUGUCACCUGUUCCCAAGAGUAGCAGCAAUCAUUGGAUUGAUUUACAGCAUAACAACUACAAUGCAGCAUUAUCAAGAAAUCGAGGAUUUUGAAUUUA